AUGGACCAAUCCAUCCCUUUUUCCCGUGCAUAUGCAUCGGACUCGGAUGACGAUGGUCCCGAUGAAGAAGUUGAUGAGGAGGGGUUCACACUGAAGGAGGCCCAAGCAUUCAAGAAGGUAUUCGGGUGGGAUCACAAGACACCAUUGUUCAAGGAUCUUAGUCUCGCGGAUGAAGCCAUUGUGGAUGGUGGCAAAUGCAUAUCUCUUGGAGCUAGGCCAAGUUCUCAC
RNAcentral lists this ribosomal RNA (228 nucleotides) under Triticum aestivum (bread wheat). RNAcentral describes it as "partial small subunit ribosomal RNA". Lineage: Eukaryota; Viridiplantae; Streptophyta; Magnoliopsida; Poales; Poaceae. The record is from RNAcentral.